This is a non-coding RNA of Monodelphis domestica (gray short-tailed opossum), 7173 nucleotides long. NCBI's taxonomy places the organism in Eukaryota, Metazoa, Chordata, Mammalia, Didelphimorphia, Didelphidae. The record is from RefSeq and is a predicted model, not a curated record.
CCCUGUGCCGCCUCUGCCGAGCCAGAGCCACAGGUGCGCCUCCUAAACUAAGGUGUGCGCGGAAGGUAAGGGCGAGCACCUGGGCAGGGGGGCGUGCUUUCUCUUGGUCCUGCCUCGCUCUCCGAGGAGAGUGAGGCCCCCAACCCGGAAGGUGGUCCCCUGCGGUGGGCAGCGGAUCCGGGUCGCUUGAAACUGUCCCCGAAGGUACUGACGCUGCGUGGCCAGAUUCAGCAGUCCUUUCUCGGUCCUCCCGAGCUCUGUGGAGCCCAGCGACCUUCCUUUCCCGGCUUCUCCUUGCUGCCUCGGGUCCCCUUUUCCCUGGGCCCCUUCCUCUAUCAGCUGGCACAGCGAUUGGCCUGCAGCAGCGCACCUCCUCCAGCCCCCUUCGCCCCCGGCCCGCGGCUCCUCGUGGCUGGGCUGGGGAGGGGGCGUGGGAGCGGCGGGAGGGCGUGGCAUUCCAAGGUCUUCCCGAGCUGGCCCGUCUUCUUACUGCAGCCGAGCCUGGCUGUUCCGCCCCCAAGGCAUUGCUGCUCCGUCACCUUCCGUGUCUCCGCCUGCUCCGAGGAAAUGCCAUCUCCUGCAGGAAGCCUUCCUCCUUUCUUCUUCCCGCUAGCUGAUGCCUCCCCUCGGAGCUGCUCUGCGUCCCGUCAUUAGCCCAGCGCCUAGUGGGAGGGGGCGGCUGAGGUUCGGGCAGUUCCGGCAUGUCGAGGCUGGAGAGGGCUCUCGGCUCCAUUUGGCCCAGGCCCUCGGCCUUACUCGAAGUUGGCCGUCUGAGUUGGCCGCCUGGCUGCCUUGGGGCUCCCUGGCCGAUGUGGUCUGUACACGCAGUGGGCCUGCUCCCACUCCCCAACCCUGAGGCGGCUGUCUCAGCUCCCUCUCUUGCCUCCUGCCCGGCAGAAACUUGGCCCGCAUGUUUGGUGGCUCUCCCUGGUUGGACUGAGGCCUUCUGGCCCUUGCUGUGCCCCCAUGACGUGUCCAUUGGGAGCUUGUUGGAUUCCUGGUGGAAAAGCCUCUGUGAGCCGCUCCCUUAAAGAACAGGCCGAUCUCUUGGCUUGGGGCCCUGCCUGGCACUAUCCUGAAGGUCUUCCUUCCUCCAUUGCCCUUUAAAUGGAGCCCCAGAGUACAGAAGAUGCCCGUUUAAGCUGGGCCAGGAUGAAGGCUCCCAGCGCUCUUCCCUCCAGAGCUGUGGAACUUGAGCCCCUGGUACGUGCCCAGUAUGUGUGGCAGAUGGUCCUGGUGCCUCUUACUUCAUCGGAGAACACUCUGCCCAGCCAGCCUGUCCGGCGUAUUCCCUGCUUCUGGGUUCCUGUGCCCGGAAUCCCCAGCAUUCCCCCAUCCCCGCCAUCCCCACGCCUGGCCACAUGGACCUGUGAAAUGGUUUGGCGGCCGGAGCUCUUGUUCUUAGAGUGAGACAGACGAGACUUGGAAGUUCUUUCUACUGCCUUCCAGGCCAAGGAUUCUUUCCCUUUUGGUGCCUUUGGCCCCCUUAACAGGCACCCUGGGAAAGAUAACCACUCAAUUGGGAAUCAAGAUUUGAAGUAUUCCUCGAAGAUGAUGCCAAGCUUAUUUCCUGGCUGGAAAGGGAGAGAAAAGCCAAGAGAGGAGACUCGUCCUCAAAGCAGACAUCUUUAAGAAGUCGCACAGUACUCCUUUCCUUGAAAUGAGAGGGCAAAGUCUUUCCAUCGGGGUCAACGGUGGGACGCUUCAAAGACGUUGGGACUUCCCCAUUCACUUUGUGCCUUGCUGGGGAGGAAUGGAGGUCACUGGUGCCCCCACAAGUCUGAGCCACUCAAGCAAGAAUUUUGGAUCAAUUUUUCUUUCCCCUCCUGGGUUUUUGUGUCCCACAUGGAGCCAGCUUAUGUCCAGGUUGGGGAUUACUGGUCCAGCCCAUUCUUAGGACAUUCCAACAACGGAAAAGCUCAUUAUUUCAGCCUCUACUGAUUGAAAAUGUGUGAUAAUACCCAUACCUGAAUAAAAAUGGUUUUUUCUGAGCAAAAUAACUAAGCAGAACUAGGUGGGAAGGGUGUAGAAAGCUUAAAGUAUUUGAAAAGACAAACUUUUUGCAAGGUCUCUUCAAGUUCACAUAGAAAUGAUGGAUAUGCUCUUUCAUACACAGCCCAUUCUAUAGCAUUUUCCAUGAUUUGCAACCCUCACACAUAUUCUCUCCUUUCGAUAUUCCAGAAACCUUUGUGGAGGAUUCUGGAAAGAUGUACAAACCAAAGAAGCUGCUACAGAACAUAGGGCAAGUAACCCUAAAUACUAGACCCCAAAAAUCCAAGUGACUUAUCCAGGGUCAUUGAGCUCAGCCAUGACAGAAACAAGACAGUCUUUUGUGAGGCUUAGUCCAGUUCUUUUUCGAUUCUAAUAGCACAUAUCAGGCUCUCUAAGGACAUUUGCUGUUCUAAUUCCCAAUACUCCUGAACCACGAGAUGGACAUCCUAUGAACCUAACAGUAAGUUAAAGGCUGCUCCAUGUACCACAUAUUUAAUCUACAAAUGGCAAAAUGGAAGGGAAUAGUUUCUGGGAAUGUGCAGAGCAAUGUUGGCACUGAAGCUCCUUCUAGAAAGAACUGUAGCAAUCUUCAUAGUUUACAUCCAGUAAAGCCUACUUAAUGCUACGUCACAGUAUUUGGUUCAGUGAAACAUUUCAUUCACUUUCUUCCCCGUGCCCUGAGAAAUGACAGAGUAUCUACUGACUGGAGAGCUUGAGGUUUCCAGGAGAGUCUUGGAUUUUGAAAUCAUAUAAUCUAGAUUUACUGUGUCUUGGUGGGGGGGGGGGAGAGAGAGAUUCUGCAUAUAGCUAUACAAGGUAACAGUAACAGUCAUUUGAAUGUUGCCCCCUUGAUAAAGACUAAAGAAAAAUGGUGCUUCCAGAAAGCCACGAAGAAUUGCCAAAGCUUAUUCAGAGAAUUUCAUGGAAGCAUCGCACUUACAGUUAGAAGGGAUUUCAGAGCACAGCUUGUCCAAUCUCCCCCCAGAUCAGAAAUCCUAUCUAUGACAUUCCUUAAAAUGAGCAUCCAGCCUCCACUGCCAUUACCCUUCCUGGCUGCUCCAACAUGUCAACGCCUUCUCAAAAAUGUACCUCCCAGAACUGAACACAAUUCUUCAGAGAGUCCCACUAGGAUACUGGACACGAGGAUUCUCUCUUUCCUCACUCUGGAUCCUAAGCUUUUGCCAAUGUAACUCAUGUCACUGUAAUUCUUGUGGUUGCCAUCUCACACUACUCCUCUUAUUAAAAGCCCGAGGGAUAUAAGGACAUUCCCAAGAGAGAGGCAAAAAAGAGUAUUAGGAUGGACUCCACCUCCAAGUAAGGAACAAGCUAUUCCUGAAAAGUGUUGUGAUUUUAGUACAGAAAUCCCUAUGUUAACUAUGGCAAAGAGAGAAAAACAUUUUCGUUAUGUAAUUCUCUGUUGCUUACUAAGUCGAGUUCAAAUUCUUUUGCAUCUGGCAUUCAAGGCCUUUCACAACCUGACAGUAGCUCACUGUUGUGGCUUUAACCCCUGGUCAGUAUAUUAUUUUCAAGGCUGUAUGUUCACUCAAUGUAUCCUGUGCUCUCUUGCCACUAGACUUUGCCCAGAUGGCUUCCUAAUGUCCUACCUUCCCCUUCUCAUCUGGUGAAUUUCUAACAAUCUUUGAAAUCAAAGUUCAAUGGAGUUUCCUUCUCUCAUCUCUCUUCUGUUGAUUUUUGCUGUCCUUUUUCACCUUGACAGGGUCCUUUAUUUAUUCCCUUCUCCAAGCAAUGAUCAUGUAACAUCUUGGAUUUUAAUUUUUUCAAAUUGGGGGACGGGGCAGGGCAUUUCUCUACCUAUUUUACUGCAGACUCUAUAUGCACUGGAACCACUUCUCAUCUCAUCUUUUCAUCACUCCCAGUGACAAGUACAAGGACAUUAUGUUGAAUUAAUUUGCUGAAUGAAUUAACAAUCCCAGGACAGGCUGUGUAGCAUGGCAAUCAUUCCAUGGUUAUUAUAAUAGUCCAUAAGCCUGUCCCAAGCUCCUUCGGACCUCUAGGAGGCUGGAUCCCACCCAAAUCCUUUUCAAAGUCUUUUCCUUUGUGGGUCCCCAUUCCAUGAAGGAAAGUAACUGUUCUUUCACUAGAGUCAUUUUAUAUUAUGGAAUUCUGCCACAUUCAUUGUCCACAAAUUCAGCCAAAGAAAAAACAAAAAUAUGGCAGACAGCUUUGCCACAAAGACAUUCCAUGGAACCCUGUGGUAGGCAUAGUCAGAAAAAGGAAAAUGAAGCUAAACUGGCCCAUUUGAUUUGUUGAUUUCCAUAAGGGAGAUGGUCAAUGUUGCUCCAAUGAGACAAGAGCUCAUUAGAUAUCCAGGGUGAAAGGCAAAGAGUAACAAGGUAAACAGAAGCUGGGUGCAUAAAUGAAAUGUCAGAAAUGAUCAAACCCCUGACAAAAUCAAAUAUUUGUGCAUGGAAGAAACACAGAAAACCCAUGAUUUCUAUUAUCUAGAAAGAAUUGCAAGAUACUGAUAGUGGAGGGAGACAGAAAGAUGAACUGUGUCCAGAGAAAAUGGUUUCUAUUUACCGAAAUCACACAAAAUGAACAGGGCAUGCAUGCUGGAAAGGCAGCUUCCAAACCUGAGCCCUUCCUUUUUAAUUCUGUUUGUACUGACUCUUCACUUCAUGGCCCACUGCCCUUGACACCAUCAAUCUACUUGAAUUCUGCUGAUAAAAAUCCAUUAUAUAUUGAUGAAUUUAUAGGAGAAAGCCCUUAACAGAGCAGACCAAUGGAUUUAAUAAAAUCCCCCAGUGGCAAUGUCUAGGCGUCUGGUUAUACAUGGGCACUUGCAAAACCCUUUUGAAAAUCAUCAGUCUCACUCUCCCAAUUUAAGAGCCAGAGGGAUCUGUUGAGGUGGGCUGGGAAUUAGAGGAAAAAAAUCCCAUGUGAGCUCCGGAGUGAUAAUGCCUCCAAGCAAGUGGACUGCCAAACUCUUGCCAUUAAAAAAAACAACCACCUGCCUUCCAUCCAUUUCAAAUGGGUUGCUUCUUAAUUUCACUAAGUGCUUUCUCUAUACGUGGAGGAGGAAAUGCAUUAUUUUAGAAAAUGGCUCAAAUCAAAUAUGAAUUAUUUAUACAGGGACAAAUUGCUAUUACUUAACCUUAUAAUCAAGGGCUCUAAGCAUGCAGUAGCCCAGCACUGCCAGCAAGGAGGAAACUCAUCUGAUCAGCAUCUAUCCCAGGGUACCAUUUCCCUACAUCGACAAAGGUCAACUGAGCAAACACCCUUGGACUCAGGUAAUACCCUUUUCAAACCUAAGCUGUCAAGUGGAGGCCAUUCUACAGCAAAGUCCAAUCUCACUGAGAGCACAAAGAACAAGUAAGUAUUCACCAAAGCCCAUUGGAAGCUCGGAUUGAGAAACUCAAGUCACAAUCGAUUUAAGCAUGCUCAAGAAAAGACAAGCACACAUUGCAUCAUACUAUUUGACUUCUCUGAAAUACACAGCUUCAUCUUUACAGUUCGAAGGGCUGUAGACGUGUGUUUGUAAAGACUUUUCAUGACUCAGACCUUAAUAAAUCAUUUUAGAUGCUAAAAUCCCACUGCAAAUGGCCAGUAAAAUUGUUUGGGUUUCAGUCCUCCUAUAGCAGGGAAAGCUUCCCUUCUAAACUCAGAUCAAAUCUGCCACAAAGGGCAAAUUAUCCGAUAGAAAUCAGGCCUUUCUAACUGGUACGGAAUCUUUUGGUUCAAUUUCCUUUUCCUUUUGAGAUUAUUUUUUUAUCCUCGGAUAAGUAAAGGCACAAACAGAAUGGGAAACUGACUGUAUGUGGCUUGUUGACAGCCAAUCAGUCAGGCUACAGAAUGUAUAGGUUUGAAACAAACCUGUGGUUAUGACGAUUUCCCCUUCCUGCCAAAUUCUGCCAGCUGCCACCAUAUUUUCUGAGUAAGGACUGUCAUCUCUCCUCAUUUUGGAAAGCCAGCAGUGGUGUGAGCAAUUACAGUAGUUUGAAAUUCACACCAUCUGGACCUAUGAGCCCAGGACCCAUGGAAUGGAUUAGAGUGGAGGGGAAAAAUAAUUUAUGAGGAACUUGAUGUAUAUAUGAACAAGAAAAAGAAGAGUGAGGAAAUCCACAAAGUAAUUACUUCACUUAUUUCCCUAUCUUGCCUUUCCCUUAUUGAGAAAAAAUUGCACACAAUCCCCUCCAAUGACACUGACAAAUGACAUGGGUGAUGUGGAAACUGAGAGGGCAAAGAAGAACCAAACAGUGUAGCAGCAAGCUCCGAGAAUAUCUGGGAAGGCAUACAGAGUACCAAAACAAAAAUCAAUUGAGCAGAUGAAACAAGAAAAUAAUUCAUCUCCUUGUACACAGUGACCCUCCAUGGACAUCAGUUGGCUCCAAGAGCAUACAAACAAAAAUUAAAUGCUUAGUUGAAAUGACAGUGAAAAAUACAGAGGCCAGAAUGGGAACAAUCCAGAUGAAUGCUUCCUGACUCAGCAAGAGUUUGUUUAACCUUCUUAUGAUCAACAGCCCAAAUGGCCAGGCUUGUACACAAUGAAAAUUGGGAAAAAAUAUGACAUAAUCUAAUAGAAAAUGACAAACACCAACCAUGACCUGAACGUGUAGCCAGUGGCAAAAGUGGAAAGAAUCUACAUCAGGUAGCUAAUACCAGGCUACAUCAGGUCUAUGAAUUUCUUGUUGAGACUGAAGAGAUGGGACUUGCAAGUGCACAGGAAGGGUCAAGUACCACUUGAAACCAAUAAAAAUGACUUCAGUUAAUAAAAAGAUACAUGGCAAGCAAGAUAGGGCAACAGGUAAAUGGCCUUUGCUCAGGACUAAAAGUGAUCUGAUGAUGAUAUUUUAAGCAGCACUGGAUGAUCAGCACCCGUGAUCAAAAACCAAGAAGCCUUUCAGGAUGGCUGCAAAUCCUGUAUGUUCCAUCUAGCAUUUGUCCAGUGCCCGCCCCCAAGGAUGUGCUCCUGACCAGACAGAAGCAUCUGGGAUAGUUUCAUUACUGCAUUUGUUGUGUAUAUGAGGUCCGAGAUUGCUCAAUGAGGACAGAGAAGAAAUUAGCCAUUGAUUUGGUACUGUUUUAAUUAUUUGUUAAGCCUUAGAAGAGAGGAUUUCUCCCACUAUUUUAUGUUAUGCUUCUCACAGAAAGUCAGGCUACAAAUAUAUGGAUAUACACAUUUUUUCACAUAGCACAAAUAACAAAGGAAAAAACUCAGCU